Molecule: ribosomal RNA, 404 nt
Filed under: Actinomycetes bacterium
Lineage: Bacteria; Bacillati; Actinomycetota; Actinomycetes
Description: Actinobacteria bacterium partial 16S ribosomal RNA
Rfam family: Bacterial small subunit ribosomal RNA
Source: RNAcentral
UGGGGAAUAUUGGACAAUGGGCGCAAGCCUGAUCCAGCCAUGCCGCGUGAGUGAUGAAGGCCCUAGGGUUGUAAAUCUCUUUCACCGGUGAAGAUCAUGACGGUAACCGGAGAAGAAGCCCCGGCUAACUUCGUGCCAGCAGCCGCGGUAAUACGAACGGGGCUAGCGUUGUUCGGAUUUACUGGGCGUAAAGCGCACGUAGGCGGACUUUUAAGUCAGGGGUGAAAUCCCGGGGCUCAACCCCGGAACUGCCUUUUAUACUUGAAGUCUUGAGUAUGGUAGUGGUGAGUGUAAGUCCGAGUUUAGCGGUGACAUUCGUAGAUAUUCGGAGGAACUCCAGUGGCGAAGGCGGCUCCCUGCACCAUUACUGACGCUGAGGUGCGAAAGCGUGGGGAGCAAACAGG